Molecule: ribosomal RNA, 253 nt
Filed under: uncultured bacterium
Lineage: Bacteria
Description: partial 16S ribosomal RNA
Rfam family: Bacterial small subunit ribosomal RNA
Source: RNAcentral
UACGGAGGAUGCAAGCGUUAUCCGGAAUGAUUGGGCGUAAAGCGUCCGCAGGUGGCAAUGUAAGUCUGCUGUUAAAGAGUCUAGCUCAACUAGAUAAAAGCAGUGGAAACUACAUAGCUAGAGUACUUUCGGGGCAGAGGGAAUUCCUGGUGUAGCGGUGAAUUGCGUAGAGAUCAGGAAGAACACCAGUGGCGAAGGCGCUCUGCUAGGCCGUAACUGACACUGAGGGACGAAAGCUAGGGGAGCGAAUGGG